This 460-nucleotide ribosomal RNA is filed under the name uncultured bacterium. Its description in RNAcentral is "partial 16S ribosomal RNA". It matches the Rfam family "Bacterial small subunit ribosomal RNA", at positions 338 to 795 of the family's 1533-position model. The record is from RNAcentral.
CCUACGGGAGUCAGCAGUGAGGAAUAUUGGUCAAUGGACGAGAGUCUGAACCAGCCAAGUAGCGUGAAGGAUGACUGCCCUAUGGGUUGUAAACUUCUUUUAUAUGGGAAUAAAACGUUCCACGUGUGGGAUUUUGUAUGUACCAUAUGAAUAAGGAUCGGCUAACUCCGUGCCAGCAGCCGCGGUAAUACGGAGGAUCCGAGCGUUAUCCGGAUUUAUUGGGUUUAAAGGGAGCGUAGGUGGAUUGGUAAGUCAGUUGUGAAAGUUUGCGGCUCAACCGUAAAAUUGCAGUUGAAACUGGCAGUCUUGAGUACAGUAGAGGUGGGCGGAAUUCGUGGUGUAGCGGUGAAAUGCUUAGAUAUCACGAAGAACUCCGAUUGCGAAGGCAGUUCACUGGACUGCAACUGACACUGAGGCUCGAAAGUGUGGGUAUCAAACAGGAUUAGAUACCCGGGUAGUC